CCCCCCUGGCAAUGGGCAAAGAGACACCUUGUUGGUGGUGGUGUUAUUUCAGUCAGGGACAGAGUUGAUGGCAGUCCUUUGUUCAUCCUGGUUUGAUGCCUGGUUUGGUGGUCAAAGUUCUUUUAUGCCUGGGACACAUAA
Molecule: small nucleolar RNA, 141 nt
Organism: Acomys russatus (golden spiny mouse)
Lineage: Eukaryota; Metazoa; Chordata; Mammalia; Rodentia; Muridae
Product: small nucleolar RNA SNORA48
Exons: 1
Source: RefSeq, a predicted model, not a curated record